GAAAAAUCCUAACAUAUUGAUAACAGUGCAAUACUAAUCCACCGAAUAGUUUGGUGAAUCCACAAUCUGAAUUCCACGAAGAACGAAGUGAACUAACUAAAUUACAUAUGAAAAGAAACCUAAAUUAUAAAUAGAAAAUAAACUAAGUAGGAAUCAAAAAAUAAAACUUUAGUAAAAACUAUCUCUAAACUGUGCAUAGCAAUACUGUUUGGAGGCUUAGGGUUGGCCGUUAAUCCUUGACCUUAUUUGGUUGACUAAUUCUUGUUAAAUGUUGUUGUGUAGACGAAAACACCCUUAGCCCAUUAAUUGACCUUGUCACGUCAGUGUCAUGACACCGUAUGGUUUGUGUCGCGUUAUUGAUGGCAGUUUACUCGUCUUGGGCGUAUCUUCAGGGUUGUGUUGCAACACCUUUUGGCUGUGUCGCGACACCAAAGGUAGUUUGCUCCUUUUGAGUACUCUGUUUACUAUGUUGUGACAUUGAAGCUCCGUGUUGCAACAUCUCGAGCAGUCUACUGUCUCCGGACCUCCGAAUGGUGUACUACACACUCACUAAAUAGGAUGACGAGAUGAUAACACGAUAUGAUGACAAUGUUGCGGUUGUCAUUGAUGAAGAAGGAAAUUUAAAAGAAACUUGAAUUUUUAGAAUGAUUGCUCGGGAAUUCAAACAGUUAAAUUUUAUUAAAAUAGUUUUAUUAGCUCUUGAGAUAUUAUAAGACGAAAUCCAAGUAUGAUAUAUAUAUAUAUAUAUAUAUGAAUUUGGAUUUUUUAUUUUAUAGUAUUAUAAUUUUAUCAUUCUAAAUAGAUAAA
Molecule: long non-coding RNA, 807 nt
Organism: Gossypium arboreum
Lineage: Eukaryota; Viridiplantae; Streptophyta; Magnoliopsida; Malvales; Malvaceae
Exons: 2
Source: RefSeq, a predicted model, not a curated record